UACAGAGGGUGCGAGCGUUAAUCGGAAUUAUUGGGCGUAAAGCGCACGUAGGUGGGCGAUUAAGUUAGAUGUAAAAUACCUGGGCUCAACCUGGGUGGGUCAUUUAAAACUGGUUGUCUAGAGUAUAGGAGAGGAAGAUAGAAUUUCCGGUGUAGCGGUGAAAUGCGUAGAUAUCGGAAGGAAUACCCGUGGCGAAGGCGAUCUUCUGGCCUAAUACUGACGCUGAGGUGCGAAAGCGUGGGGAGCAAACAGG
Molecule: ribosomal RNA, 253 nt
Filed under: uncultured bacterium
Lineage: Bacteria
Description: partial 16S ribosomal RNA
Rfam family: Bacterial small subunit ribosomal RNA
Source: RNAcentral